Non-coding RNA from Nicotiana tabacum (common tobacco), 1821 nucleotides. NCBI's taxonomy places the organism in Eukaryota, Viridiplantae, Streptophyta, Magnoliopsida, Solanales, Solanaceae. The record is from RefSeq and is a predicted model, not a curated record.
UGGUGUGCUUAAAAUAAUAAAGCCCCUAUAACUAACACUGAACAAGAAAACAACCAACAAACUUUCCCAAAUGGACACACGAUGGAGGGACAAAAAACUAUAUCCAGCAUUAGGCAUUUUCACCAUUCUUUCUCUUUUAUAGAACUUCAAUGACAAGUACAACCUUAAUUUUUCCUUCCCACAAAUCUUUCUAAGGCAACCAAAGAUGGGUUUCGUUGGAGUUAAUAAAACUCAAUUUGUGAUCAAGAAUGAGGACCCAAAGACUCAUUCUUUAACCUUACAAGAAUUGUAUAUUAAUGGGUGGAAUUCUUAUUGGUUAAUGGAGGAAAGUGUGUGGGAAUCUUCAAGGUAUAGAGUCUCUGAGAUAUUGAGAAGAGGUGCUGAAAUGGGCUCGAGUGUUUGUAGGACUUGGGCUUUUAGUGAUGGUGGUGGACCCAAUGAUCUUCAGCUCCUACCUGGUGUCUUCAAUGAAAGAGUGUUUAAGGGAUUGGAUUAUGUUAUUGUUGAGGCAAGGAAGCAUAACAAUAGAUUAAUCCUCAGUCUUGUAAACAAUUUAAAUGCUUAUGGUGGCACUGCUCAAUAUGUGAGGUGGGCACAAGAAGAAGGUGGUACCAAUGUGUCUUCAUCAAGAGAUUCAUUCUUUACCAACCCAACGGUCAAAGCGUACUACAAGUCUUUCGUCAAGGCUGUUGUGACAAGGAAAAACUCCAUAAGUGGAGUUAAAUAUUCAGAAGAACCAGCCAUAUUUGCAUGGGAACUCAUAAAUGAACCACGUUGUGAAUCCAGUUCAUCAGCUGCUGCUCUGCAGGCGUGGAUAACUGAGAUGGCUGGAUUUGUCAAAAGUUUGGAUCAGAAGCAUCUCGUGACUGUUGGACUCGAGGGCUUUUAUGGUGUGGAAAAAACUGGAAGCUUUGGAGCGAACCCAGGGAAAUGGGCUGCAUCACUUGGAGUGGACUUCAUUGAAAACUCCGCCAUUGACAACAUCGAUUUUACUUCCAUUCAUGCUUACCCCCACAGUUGGAUCCAAGGUAUAAAUUCAGACGCGAAAGUAGAUUUUCUAUCUCAUUUGGUUGAUUCUCACAUUAGUGAAGCUGAAAGAUCCUUAAGAAGCCUGUUCUUUUUACAGAAGUCGGGUUUCCUUCCAGUACACAAAAGGAAGGAUUACAUGACAGAAACAUUUAUCUGAAAAUAGUUUACGACAAGAUUUAUAAAUCAGCAAAGAAGAAGAAAGCUGGUGCAGGAGCCUUAGUUUGGCAGUUGCUGGUGGAAGGAAUGGAGCGAUAUGGUGACAAGUUCUCGUUUAUAUCGUGGAAGCAUCCCUCUAUGUAUAAACUGACGGUACAGCAAUCUUGCAAGCUACUCAAUACAUCUUCUCAAUGCGUCUCACAUAGAAAACUCAAUCGAAAAGAUCAUUGUUUCGCUAAUGCAUCUUAAAUAUGAUAGUUGAUUGAUCAGGACGGACAAAAAGGGCGAAAGUUACCUCUAGAAAUAGACAAUCUUGAAUGAUUUGUUGUGACAUUGAUCAAAGGUAUGUAAAAGAAGCAACUCUGAGAAGUGUUAGCUGGAGGAGUUCAACAAUCAGCUCAUUUUAUCAGAAUUACAUGACAUAUGGUAGGGAGCGCUUCUCUCUUUAAUGGGCUAAACACCUUAUGCAGCGCGAAUCUGGAAUUGGUGGCGGACCCAGGAUUUUAUGCAAGCCGGUUCAAUCUUAGAAGUACAUAACUUUAAUCGUAAAAAAUAGUAGUUGUCAGCUGAGUUCAAAUAAAAUAUUUUUACAAACUUUACGCAGCUUUACUCCUAAUUUAUACAUAUCACAAUAUU